This 224-nucleotide long non-coding RNA is filed under the name Musa acuminata (dwarf banana). RNAcentral describes it as "long non-coding RNA (MACU_LNC011764)". Lineage: Eukaryota; Viridiplantae; Streptophyta; Magnoliopsida; Zingiberales; Musaceae. The record is from RNAcentral.
AAAAUAUUCCUUCACCACCAUUCUCACCUCUGAUCAUUAGCAUAUCAUCGGUGCCUCCUUUACGAACUUUCACUCCCCCAUGACUCAACACUAUCACCACCACCUCGCUCUCGAUUAAUUGUCUGCUCCAUUUUUGCUACAACCUUCGUUAGACUCCUUUGCGGCACUAUUAUCAGAUUGUCACUACUAUCCCGCUCUCCAUUGGCUGCCAAAAGCAGAAGAGG